Molecule: ribosomal RNA, 298 nt
Filed under: uncultured bacterium
Lineage: Bacteria
Description: partial 16S ribosomal RNA
Rfam family: Bacterial small subunit ribosomal RNA
Source: RNAcentral
CCCUACGGGGGGCAGCAGUGAGGAAUAUUGGUCAAUGGCCGGAAGGCUGAACCAGCCAAGCCGCGUGAAGGACGAAGGUGCCAAGCAUUGUAAACCUCUUUUGUCAGGGAACAAAGGCGGGGACUAGUCCCCGGAUGAGGGUACCUGAAGAAAAAGCAUCGGCUAACUCCGUGCCAGCAGCCGCGGUAAUACGGAGGAUGCGAGCGUUAUCCGGAUUUAUUGGGUUUAAAGGGUGCGCAGGCGGCCUGUUAAGUCAGCGGUAAAAACCCGGGGCUCAACCCCGGCGAGCCGUUGAAAC